This 72-nucleotide transfer RNA is filed under the name Ictidomys tridecemlineatus (thirteen-lined ground squirrel). RNAcentral's name for it is "Spermophilus tridecemlineatus (thirteen-lined ground squirrel) tRNA". It matches the Rfam family "tRNA". Rfam says of the family: Transfer RNA (tRNA) molecules are approximately 80 nucleotides in length. Their secondary structure includes four short double-helical elements and three loops (D, anti-codon, and T loops). Lineage: Eukaryota; Metazoa; Chordata; Mammalia; Rodentia; Sciuridae. The record is from Rfam by way of RNAcentral.
GGGGGUACAGCUCAGGGGUAGAGCAUUUGACUGCAGAUCAAGAGGUCCCUGGUUCAAGUCUAGGUGUCCCCC